AGCAGCCGCGGUAAUUCCAGCUCCAAUAGCGUAUAUUAAAGUUGUUGCAGUUAAAAGCUCGUAGUUGAAUUUCGGGAUCAAUAUGUUGGUCGUGCCUUGGUACGUACUGGCAUUAUCGAUUCCUACCUUCUGAAGAACCUCGAUGUCAUUAAUUUGGUGUCUUGGGGAAUCAGGACUGUUACUUUGAAAAAAUUAGAGUGUUUAAAAGCAGGCUCGCGCUUGAAUACAUUAGCAUGGAAUAAUGAAAUAGGACGUUUUGAUUCUAUUUUGUUGGUUUCUAGGAUCGACGUAAUGAUUAAUAGGGACAGUUGGGGGCAUUAGUAUUCAAUUGUCAGAGGUGAAAUUCUUGGAUUUAUUGAAGACUAACUACUGCGAAAGCAUUUGCCAAGGAUGUUUUCAUUAAUCAAGAACGAAAGUUAGGGAUCGAAGACGAUCAGAUACCGUCGUAGUCUUAACCAUAAACUAUGCCGACUAGGGAUCGGAUGAUGUUAAUUUUUAAUGUACUCAUUCGGCGUCCG
RNAcentral lists this unclassified non-coding RNA (518 nucleotides) under uncultured Glomus. Its description in RNAcentral is "SSU rRNA". It matches the Rfam family "Eukaryotic small subunit ribosomal RNA", at positions 569 to 1089 of the family's 1831-position model. The record is from RNAcentral. Lineage: Eukaryota; Fungi; Glomeromycota; Glomeromycetes; Glomerales; Glomeraceae.